RNAcentral lists this non-coding RNA (219 nucleotides) under [Clostridium] methylpentosum. RNAcentral's name for it is "Clostridium methylpentosum T-box sequence". It matches the Rfam family "T-box leader". From Rfam's summary of the family: Uncharged tRNA acts as the effector for transcription antitermination of genes in the T-box leader family. The record is from RNAcentral. Lineage: Bacteria; Bacillati; Bacillota; Clostridia; Eubacteriales; Oscillospiraceae.
UUAAAUGCCUUGAUGGGGAGGAGUACCCACGCGCGCGGAUUCCAGAGAGGACGGCAUCUGGUGCGAGCCGUUUUCCGGCAGCGGUGGCGAAGACACCUCUGAGCAGCCCUGUGAUCUAAAGCAGGGCCGUACCCCCGCGUUAAGGGGAGUAGAGAGGUGCGGUUAUUUUUGCCGCAUGAACUGGGUGGCACCACGUGGAGUUUGCUCCUCGUCCCUUGA